UUACAGCUGAAAUCAGUUUCAGAAAUAUACAACAUGGCCGUAUAGUUUGGUGAAACAUUGACAUCCAUUUCAAAGACAUGGAAUCCAUUCAUCUCUAAACUUAGAAUCAGACAGCAGCAGUAACCGUCUUACAAACUAUUCUUACGUUAGGCCUGCUGGACAUUUGGUGCAACCCACUGGCUGGCCUUUCCGGAACGACCUAAGCUGAAUCUAUUGCCUCUUGUUAGCGUAUGCUGUGUAUACGUCCCCUGCUAUCCAACUUUUUGCGGCUCUGUUGAGAUCAACUAUCUAACCAAAUGCUUUUGUUUAUUUAUUACUUCAUCAUAUCAAAAGGAUGAUGGUUCUCAAACCGACUGAAUGAAGAGUUCCAGAGCAUGCAAUUCAAAAGCCAAUGAGCGCUCCGAGAACAUGGAAAUUUGAACAAAAGGACGGUAACGCACCUUCUGCCCUUGAUCUAGC
Molecule: long non-coding RNA, 459 nt
Filed under: Brassica napus (rape)
Lineage: Eukaryota; Viridiplantae; Streptophyta; Magnoliopsida; Brassicales; Brassicaceae
Description: long non-coding RNA (BNAP_LNC026803)
Source: RNAcentral